AGUCAUACGAAGCUUUCAUUACCUAUAGAUGAUCUUGAUAGACUUGGUUGGAACCUUAUGCAGGACCUUGAAACUAUGAAUUGAACUUUAAUAUGUGGCAUGAGAAGAGUACUCUUCUGAAUGCUGCCGUCAUGACCAAUUUGCAUUUGAGAUCCAAUUUGGAGCUUAACUUGAAUGUUAAUGUCUUUGUUGAGGUACCUUUAUCUUGCUGACAAGGUAGACAUUGAAGAUCUUACGGCAGAACAAAGAUACUUAUAUGCUAGUAAUGAGCAGUUUUUUUAAGGUAAUUUUGCAUAUGUUUAAGUUGUGUAUAGACUCUUAUAGAUUACUUCAAGCUAACAACUAUCUAUCUUUAUUGUAUAUAACUUCUCUGUUAUAUUUUUACUUACCAGACUUAAUUGCACUUGUUUAUUUUUUACUAGGAUAAGCAUAGAUAUUGAAGUCCACUUUGCAACUAAACUUGAAUGUUGUUGUCUCCCUUGCUGAGGUCUAAGAGUUGAAGGGUCAAUUCAGUGUUGAUCAUUCUCUAGCACUUAUUCUUUUUUAGUAGAAAGAUUUCUUUUAGCUAGAAAGAGAUGUACAUUAGUUUUUUAUUUUUUUAUUUUUUAUCACUACAUGUAUAGAGUUCUUUUCUUAAUACUUUGGAAUUUCUGAUGCAAUUUAUGGUGAAGAUGCAUUAACAUUCUCAUUUUUAUGAUACCGGCUUAUUAGUUUGUUGA
Rhododendron vialii is the source of this 719-nucleotide long non-coding RNA. RefSeq lists it as uncharacterized. Lineage: Eukaryota; Viridiplantae; Streptophyta; Magnoliopsida; Ericales; Ericaceae. The record is from RefSeq and is a predicted model, not a curated record. The transcript has 3 exons.